AUUGAACGCUGGCGGCAUGCCUUACACAUGCAAGUCGAGCGGCAGCGCGGGGGCAACCCUGGCGGCGAGCGGCGAACGGGUGAGUAAUGCAUCGGAACGUGUCCUUUUGUGGGGAGUAACCAGUCGAAAGACUGGCUAAUACCGCAUGAGCUCGAGAGAGGAAAGACGGGGGAUCCCAAGGGAAACUGAGGGACCUCGCGCGAGAGGAGCGGCCGAUGCCCGAUUAGCUAGUUGGUGAGGUAAAAGCUCACCAAGGCGACGAUCGGUAGCUGGUUUGAGAGAACGACCAGCCACACUGGGACUGAGACACGGCCCAGACUCCUACGGGAGGCAGCAGUGGGGAAUUUUGGACAAUGGGCGCAAGCCUGAUCCAGCCAUGCCGCGUGUGUGAAGAAGGCC
RNAcentral lists this ribosomal RNA (399 nucleotides) under uncultured bacterium. RNAcentral's name for it is "bacterial SSU rRNA". It matches the Rfam family "Bacterial small subunit ribosomal RNA", at positions 29 to 416 of the family's 1533-position model. The record is from RNAcentral.